CCCUAUUAUUUUGGAGUGUUAAUUGUGUUGUGCCUGAGUAGUAUUAGUUAUGUUCUUGAAACUUAAAGAAUUUGGCGGUAUCUCAUUCCUUCCAGAGGAAUCUGUCUCGUUAUCGAUAGUCCGCGUUGGACCUUACUUAGUUGCUUUGGUUUGUAUACCGCCGUUUAUUGAUUAUCUUUUUAGAGUUAGUUUAAUUUUCUGGUUUCUUUAUUUUGAUUUAUUUCAGGUCAAGGUGCAGCUUGUUUCUAAGUGAAUGAUGGAUUACAUUGUUAUUUGUUUAUUGGAUUGUUGGUUUUAAUAUUGGCAUGAAAUUGGAUUUGGUUGUAAUGAUUUGUAGGUUGUUAUUGUGAUAGUUGGUUCUGAGAUAUGUACACAUCGCCCGUCGCUCUC
Molecule: ribosomal RNA, 390 nt
Filed under: Termes comis
Lineage: Eukaryota; Metazoa; Arthropoda; Insecta; Blattodea; Termitidae
Description: partial 12S ribosomal RNA
Source: RNAcentral